CCAUUCCUCAUGGUGGUUUGCAGAUCUGGCGGGCCCCAUACCCGCGGCACGUCAGGAGGGCGGAAGGGCUCGGAUCGUGCCUGGGGGUUCGGAUCCAGAUGGAACGUUGCGGGCGGGUGCCUCGCGUGCCGCCGCUGGACGCACCUCCUCCGGGCCGACGACACGGUCGCGUACUGCGGCCUCGUCACCUGCGCCGCCUGCACGGUCGCGCCCGCCGGGGUCGUGUCCUCGCCGCCGCGGUACAAGCCGGGCACUCGCAAGCCAAGCUCGUCGGGAGACUAUCAAGUCCAUCAUGGCGGACCGGUCAUGUACAACGAAGAAUGUCCUCGCACUGGUUGCUGUGAGGUAUCAAUGGCUUCUAGAUUCUAUAGAAUGGUUCUUGCCGUUCGAUUAAUAUUUAUGACUUCCAUAACCUUCUGCAUAUGUUUAAUCGAUACACAUGCAGUUCUAUCUGAGUCGCACUAUUUCAUAACUUUUUCUUUUUUGUGGUAUCCCCUAUAAUGAGUAUGUGCGGUACAACCAAGCCUGUUGCUUCGAAUAAUUAAGAAAUUGCUUUAACUAUUGCAGAGAAUUUGGGUCCAUAAUCUCAAACUAUAUAUGUCAAUCCUCGUAUUUUUGUUUGGUCUCCUUACUGUAUAAAGGUAUAUUUCUUUGAUUUAGACUGUGGCAUUUCUAAAUGACAUGUAUUAUUUGGGGAAAUUAGUCACAUGUUUAUUUUUUACUAGGUUGAGAUAAAGAAUUUACAAAUAUAAAGUUCUCAUUUUUAUAUGCCAAAUCCUCGACUACCUGAUGGCCGCUAUGAUCCGCUAUGCCCGCCGCACGACACCCACCACGACGGCAUCCACCGAGCCCCCUCAUCCUCCACGGCUGCCGGUGAGUCACGUUACUCAAAUAUUUUUUAGGUGCUGCUGCCAUGAUUUGUUUGACAUCUUGUGUUUUUCCUCUUUUUCCAUUAUGAAUGUGAGUUCUGUAUGCAAAUAUGAUGGCCAUUUGCAAAGGCAAUUAUCUAGAUGAUCCUUUGUUCUCCAUGUCUUUUAGGUGUUUGAUAAAUUACCGGUAAGGUGAAUUGGCAACAGCUAAUUGUGGUGUCACACCAGUAUUCAUGGUAGUGAGUAUUAUCCCUGAUUUUCGUGAUGGACAUGCUAUAUUACAGAGCAACAUUUACGUUGGGAUAUAGGUGUUCAAAGAAAAAUAUGUAUCUUUUCUCGAUUCUCAGAUGUCAUACAUGUGAGAAGUGUGAACUAAUCAAUCUUGCCACUGGGGAUCUCUAAACAAUAUCUAUUUCACUAAGUACAGUUGAAUUGGAUGGCAAAUGGAUUAUCAUGAAGAAUUGAGAUGGUGUGGCCAAUGUGGCUGCUCCAUUAGAGCUGGUAUGUUUGUUUCAUGUGGCUGCACUAUUAGAGCCGAUAUGUUUAUUUUCUUUGAGCAAAGCUACUUUCCUUCUUAAAACUGUAUCAUGGUAUAUGUUUAUUUUCAAGAUGAUGCAGGUUCAGUGUCAACUUUGACUAAAAACUUUGCUUUUCUGCUUCAGAUUAGAAUGGAUGACCUUUCUUAUUCCCAAUUUGAUCCAUACCAUUCGUUGUUGAACAGUUUUUGAGCUGCGUGAGGCUGAUGACCACAUGCUACUCUGGAGAUCUUCAGGCACAUUGUUAGUUCUGGGUGUUAUGCAUUGCUUUUAGAUUUACCAGUUAGAUUGGUUCCUGUCAUCAUUUUUGAAAGCACAACAUAUAUAUUACUCUGAGUAGCCUUUUAGAGGAGUUCUGAUGAUGUCAUUAUCUGAGCCACAUAGACUUUGCAUUUUUGCUUUGGCAUCUACAAGAUACUUCUUGGUUGUGAUGUUUGGCUUAAUUUCUAGAAGCAUUUUGGAUGGGUGCGUGCAUAGCACUUUUUGACUCAAUUUAAUUAACCCAUAUCCCUUUCAACUGGUGUUGUGAUAUUCCAGUACUAUAAGGCAUUGUUGUCCACAAUUGGUUUGAUCCCCUCCUGCUCUCCAUAGGUAACUAAUCCACAAUUGCGUGGAUUAGUUAGCAAGUGCCGUGUCCACGAGUGAGAUCCGGCACAUGGACUAUCUGUGCAGGCACAACCUCUCUUAUGAGUUUUGUUUCCCUGGCUUCACAGCGUUGAUAUGAUGUACACUGUAGCCUUCCGAGAUUUUAAGUUUGAGCUGUUGAGCACAAAUAUUUUUGUAUCUUCUUUCUGAUUCUUGCUUAGAGAUCAGAUAUUUUAUUUAGGGGAAUCACCAGAUGCUAGGUGCAUUUUAUUUCCUUUUGACAACCUUUCGAAUUGAUGUAAUCUUGCUUGCACGGCAGACCAUUUUUGAGCUGGGAGUUGUGACAGAUGACA
Long non-coding RNA from Panicum virgatum (switchgrass), 2343 nucleotides. RefSeq lists it as uncharacterized. The transcript is spliced from 2 exons. The record is from RefSeq and is a predicted model, not a curated record. NCBI's taxonomy places the organism in Eukaryota, Viridiplantae, Streptophyta, Magnoliopsida, Poales, Poaceae.